This 350-nucleotide unclassified non-coding RNA is filed under the name soil metagenome. RNAcentral describes it as "partial contains 5.8S ribosomal RNA, internal transcribed spacer 2, and large subunit ribosomal RNA". The stretch from base 1 to 122 matches the Rfam family "5.8S ribosomal RNA", at positions 35 to 154 of the family's 154-position model. The record is from RNAcentral.
GAUGAAGAACGCAGCGAAAUGCGAUACGUAAUGUGAAUUGCAGAUCUCUCAGUGAACCAUCGAAUUUUUGAACGCACAUUGCGCCCCCUGGUAUUCCGGGGGGCAUGCCUGUCCGAGCGUCAUUGCUGCCCUCAAGCACGGCUUGUGUGUUGGGCCCCGCCCCCCGGCUCCCGGGGGGCGGGCCCGAAAGGCAGCGGCGGCACCGCGUCCGGUCCUCGAGCGUAUGGGGCUUCGUCACCCGCUCCGUAGGCCCGGCCGGCGCCCGCCGGCGACCCCCCUCAAUCUUUUCAGGUUGACCUCGGAUCAGGUAGGGAUACCCGCUGAACUUAAGCAUAUCAAUAAGCGGAGGA